UACGAAGGGGGCGAGCGUUGUUCGGAUUUACUGGGCGUAAAGGGCGCGCAGGCGGUCUUGAAAGUCAGGCGUGAAAGCCCCGGGCUUAACCUGGAAUUGCGCUUGAUACUCUGAGACUGGAGUACGGGAGAGGAGAGUGGAAUUCCCAGUGUAGAGGUGAAAUUCGUAGAUAUUGGGAAGAACACCAGUGGCGAAGGCGGCUCUCCUGGACCGUAACUGACGCCUGA
RNAcentral lists this ribosomal RNA (227 nucleotides) under uncultured bacterium. RNAcentral describes it as "partial 16S ribosomal RNA". It matches the Rfam family "Bacterial small subunit ribosomal RNA", at positions 524 to 749 of the family's 1533-position model. The record is from RNAcentral.